RNAcentral lists this ribosomal RNA (492 nucleotides) under uncultured bacterium. RNAcentral's name for it is "partial 16S ribosomal RNA". It matches the Rfam family "Bacterial small subunit ribosomal RNA", at positions 29 to 507 of the family's 1533-position model. The record is from RNAcentral.
AGUGAACGCUGGCGGUAGGCCUAACACAUGCAAGUCGAACGGCAGCACAGUAAGAGCUUGCUCUUACGGGUGGCGCGUGGCGGACGGGUGAGGAAUACAUCGGAAUCUACUUUUUCGUGGGGGAUAACGUAGGGAAACUUACGCUAAUACCGCAUACGACCUACGGGUGAAAGCAGGGGAUCUUCGGACCUUGCGCGAUUGAAUGAGCCGAUGUCGGAUUAGCUAGUUGGCGGGGUAAAGGCCCACCAAGGCGACGAUCCGUAGCUGGUCUGAGAGGAUGAUCAGCCACACUGGAACUGAGACACGGUCCAGACUCCUACGGGAGGCAGCAGUGGGGAAUAUUGGACAAAGGGCGCAAGCCUGAUCCAGCCAUACCGCGUGGGUGAAGAAGGCCUUCGGGAUGUAAAGCCCUUUUGUUGGGAAAGAAAAGCAGCAGGUUAAUACCCCGCUGUUCUGACGGUACCCAAAGAAUAAGCACCGGCUAACUUCGUG